GUUUUCAUCCCCAUUUAUUUGCUUUAUAAAUACCACUUUAACCCUUCUUUUAAAUACAAAGGAGGGGAGACCAAUGUUGCCAAAAAAGAAAAACCAAAGCAAGUCUCAUCACCAGCAUGACACUGGGAACUUAUCAGCAGGUGAAGAUGAUGUAACAUGUUGUCCAGCUACAACAAAGAAAGGGGGAGGAGGCUUCAUGAAUAUGCUGUGCAAAGCUUUGGGCUGCUGUGGACUGCUUUCAGCUUGCUAUGACCCUCGAACUCCUCAUUGAUAAUAAUAAAUGUAACUGGCAAAGUAGUUUUUAGUAGAGUAUUGAAAGAACAGACAGAAAUGGUAGUAGUAUAUGAUAUGAAUGUUACUUAUGGUGUUAUUUAUUGAAAGUCAAUUUCUUUGAUCAA
Molecule: long non-coding RNA, 398 nt
Organism: Gossypium raimondii (Peruvian cotton)
Lineage: Eukaryota; Viridiplantae; Streptophyta; Magnoliopsida; Malvales; Malvaceae
Exons: 3
Source: RefSeq, a predicted model, not a curated record